This 258-nucleotide long non-coding RNA is filed under the name Homo sapiens (human). RNAcentral's name for it is "PREDICTED lncRNA (TCONS_00021210)". The record is from RNAcentral. Lineage: Eukaryota; Metazoa; Chordata; Mammalia; Primates; Hominidae.
CCUGUGAAGAAGGUGCCUUGCUUCCCCUUUGCCUUCCACCACAAUGCUAAGUUUCUUGAGGCCUCCCGAGACAUGCUGAACUGUGAGUCAGUCAACUAAGCCUCUUUCCUUUAUAAAUUACCCAGUUUCAGGCAAUUCUUUAUAGCAAUGUGAAAAUGGACUAAUAUACAACUGAAGUCAUUUGGUAAAAUAAGCUUCAAGAUUCCUCUUUUCAUCUCUCACUGAAGGAACCACCUCCUGCUUUCGGCACUCAGAAUG